GUAAUUAUAGUUUAAUAAAAACAUUAGAUUGUGGUUCUAAAAACAAAAGUUAAAAUCUUUUUAAUUACC
Molecule: transfer RNA, 69 nt
Filed under: Zapteryx exasperata (banded guitarfish)
Lineage: Eukaryota; Metazoa; Chordata; Chondrichthyes; Rhinopristiformes; Rhinobatidae
Description: tRNA-His
Rfam family: tRNA
About the family: Transfer RNA (tRNA) molecules are approximately 80 nucleotides in length. Their secondary structure includes four short double-helical elements and three loops (D, anti-codon, and T loops).
Source: RNAcentral